RNAcentral lists this ribosomal RNA (392 nucleotides) under uncultured bacterium. RNAcentral describes it as "bacterial SSU rRNA". It matches the Rfam family "Bacterial small subunit ribosomal RNA", at positions 505 to 898 of the family's 1533-position model. The record is from RNAcentral.
GUGUCAGCCGCCGCGGUAAUACGUAAGGGGCAAGCGUUGUUCGGAAUUAUUGGGCGUAAAGGGCGUGUAGGCGGUUUUAUAAGCCCGAUGUUAAAUACCACAGCCUAACUGUGGAAGUGCGUCGGGAACUGUAAGACUAGAGUUCAGGAGGGGAAGCUGGAAUUCCUGGUGUAGGGGUGAAAUCUGUAGAUAUCAGGAAGAACACCGAUGGCGAAGGCAAGCUUCUAGACAUGGACUGACGCUGAGGCGCGAAAGCGUGGGGAGCAAACAGGAUUAGAUACCCUGGUAGUCCACGCUGUAAACGAUGUGCACUUGGUGUAGGGUGCUAAGCACUCUUUGCCGUAGCUAACGCGUUAAGUGCACCGCCUGGGGAGUAUGCUCGCAAGGGUGAA